This 360-nucleotide long non-coding RNA is filed under the name Nicotiana benthamiana. Its description in RNAcentral is "long non-coding RNA (NBEN_LNC016681)". The record is from RNAcentral. Lineage: Eukaryota; Viridiplantae; Streptophyta; Magnoliopsida; Solanales; Solanaceae.
UUGCUUCAGAUUUUCAGGGUUGGUUGGAUGACCUAACUGAUGGUCGUGUCGAGUACAUGCCUGAAGAUGAAGUAAAGGUGGCUGCUGCUGAAAAGCUAAAGAUUUCGAUGAAACGGAUAGUGUUACUAAAGGCAGCAAGACCUCGCCCGAAGUCGGUGGCUGCUGCUGAAAAGCUAAAGAUUUCAAUGGAACGGAUUGCAUUACUAAAGGCGGCAAGACCUCGCCUGAAGUCUCCAAAAUCUGACGAUGAAGAAGAGGAGGAAGACGAAGAUGAUGAGAACCAAAAGAAAGAAGACAUGAUUAACGUUGAAAAUGGUAAAACUAAGGGGCAAACUACUUUAUUUAAGUGGUCGGCAGAAG